CAGCCGCCGCGGGAAUACGUAGGUGGCAAGCGUUGUCCGGAAUUAUUGGGCGUAAAGGGCUCGCAGGCGGUUUCUUAAGUCUGAUGUGAAAGCCCCCGGCUCAACCGGGGAGGGUCAUUGGAAACUGGGAAACUUGAGUGCAGGAGAGGAGAGUGGAAUUCUACGUGUAGCGGUGAAAUGCGUAGAGAUGUGGAGGAACACCAGUGGCGAAGGCGACUCUCUGGUCUGUAACUGACGCUGAGGAGCGAAAGCGUGGGGAGCGAACAGGAUUAGAUACCCCUGUAGUCCCUGUCUCUUAUAC
This 301-nucleotide ribosomal RNA is filed under the name uncultured bacterium. Its description in RNAcentral is "partial 16S ribosomal RNA". It matches the Rfam family "Bacterial small subunit ribosomal RNA", at positions 509 to 807 of the family's 1533-position model. The record is from RNAcentral.